CACAAGUGCAGGAGACGAUGGCUUCACGUUAAGCGAUCAACCGUGACACUGGACAAUUUCCAAAUGACUUUGUACCAGACAAACAGCGCACUACGGUGGAUGUAGGUCAUUACUCAACACCCGAUGGAGUACACCGUUUGAUAUUUUUCAGCCCGGUUGCUGACAUCCAUAACACCCACAGCAGUGAUCCAGGAAGUAAUACAUGUGAACAAGUGCAAACAGAACUUUCUUCAUUGGCUCCUGUUGGGUUGAGAAAUUUGCCCCCGGCUCCUGUGGGUUAUUGAUGUUGGAGAAGUAAAUUGCAUCCCCUUGGAUGGAUUUUGGCACUAAGAGAGGAGUCGUGGGUCCGGUUCACAUCUCCCUUACCCUCUCUUACAGACAUAUAGAGAUGAAUUAGAGUCGAACCUGCAAAACGACUGAGGGCACAGAGAAAACAAUCCACUUAUUUUGCAAAAUGCUGAAACCACAACUGCACUCGUCUGCAUAUGUGGCCAGAUUGUUUUGUUUUUGUUGUUACAUAUUUCCAUUUUCUUAAAAAAAAAAAAAAAAGGAAAAGAAAAGAAAAUAAUAAUUCGACAGACAAUGGUUUAUAAGCAUAAUAUGUUCCAGUCCAAGUGACAGACCCGAAGAAGACAUUUGAAAUUCAAAUGUGGGUAAAAUCUUCUUGACAGGCUUUUGUAUGCUUGUCAUUUUUACUUCUGCUUAUAUUAUUAAUGGCAAUGUAUUAUUGGGUUUGUAAAUAGGGUUCAUUUAUUAUGAAUGUCUGAUGUAAGGGGUAGAGCAAAAGAGUUAGGAGUCAGCAAUGGAAACAGGGUAGAAAAUAAAUAAAAAUGAUACUCUGUGUG
Long non-coding RNA from Tachysurus fulvidraco (yellow catfish), 845 nucleotides. RefSeq lists it as uncharacterized. NCBI's taxonomy places the organism in Eukaryota, Metazoa, Chordata, Actinopteri, Siluriformes, Bagridae. The record is from RefSeq and is a predicted model, not a curated record. The transcript has 4 exons.